Molecule: ribosomal RNA, 250 nt
Filed under: uncultured prokaryote
Description: partial 16S ribosomal RNA
Rfam family: Bacterial small subunit ribosomal RNA
Source: RNAcentral
UACGGAGGAUGCAAGAGUUAUCCGGAUUUAUUGGGUUCAAAGGGUGCGCAGGCAGACUGUUAAGUCAGCGGUGAAAUGUCCCGGCUCAACCGGGGCACUGCCGUUGAUACUGGCAGACUUGAGUACGGACGGCGCCGGCGGAAUGUGUCAUGUAGCGGUGAAAUGCUUAGAUAUGCCACAGAACACCGAUCGCGAAGGCAGCUGGCGAGGCCGGGACUGACGCUCAGGCACGAAAGCGUGGGGAUCAAAC